RNAcentral lists this ribosomal RNA (22 nucleotides) under Hemidesmus indicus. Its description in RNAcentral is "partial 26S ribosomal RNA". Lineage: Eukaryota; Viridiplantae; Streptophyta; Magnoliopsida; Gentianales; Apocynaceae. The record is from RNAcentral.
AAUAACAUCAUACGAAGGAAGA